GGAGGGCCCGGGCGGUCGCUGCGCGGUGGCGGAGCGUCUAGCGGCCGCCGCACCCGGUGGCUCCGGGCCGCCGUUGUGAAGUGAGCGGGCCUCUCCCGCGCCGCGGCCCGCCGGGCACCGCCGCUGGACCCCGCGCCGACCCGGCAGCGCCCCGACCUGCCGCUCGGGAGGUCCGCGACCGUUUCGAUUUCUGUUCCUAAAGUCCGAUUUUGGACGCUGAAAAGGAGGCUGUGGAGGGGCGAGCGGCGUCCUGGGAAGCAAGGCCUGCUCUGUGCGGAGCAGAAACGCCUUGUGCGAACAGAAAUAAAUUCCCGCGGAAAGGAUGAAGGUGGACUUUUAAAUAUUCUCCACUGAAGCAAAUGCUGCAACAAUUUGCAUUUCCUUCACCAAUGUCUUCUUGUGCCUUUUCUUGUUUCUACUGUAAAGGAGAUGGGUUAGAUGUUCACUUUCAUUUGGACCCGUGGAUACCCAUUGAACAGAUGCUUGAAACCUGCAAGUAAUCUGCAGAUCUUAGCAGAACCAUAGGCCUUUCCUUUGUGUUGGGAGGAUAUAGCCUAUAUGCUGUGGAAAUGAACGGGGAGCAGCAGCUUGAUGCAGAUGCCGGCUCUGGUAUGGAAGAGGUAGAAUUAAGCUGGGAAGAUUAUCUAGAAGAAACAGGGUCCACAGCAGUUCCCUAUGGGUCUUUUAAACAUGU
RNAcentral lists this small RNA (694 nucleotides) under Pan troglodytes (chimpanzee). RNAcentral describes it as "processed transcript". The record is from RNAcentral. Lineage: Eukaryota; Metazoa; Chordata; Mammalia; Primates; Hominidae.